UAACCUGGUUGAUCCUGCCAGUAGUCAUAUGCUUGUCUUAAAGACUAAGCCAUGCAUGUCUAAGUUUAAGUAAUAAACAGCGAAACUGCGAAUGGCUCAUUAAAUCAGUUAUAAUCUACUCGAUCAACACUAUUUUUACUCGGAUAACUGUAGUAAUUCUAGAGCUAAUACGUGCAUAAACACCCGACUUCACGGAAGGGUGGCGCUUGUUAGAUACAAAAACCGGCCGCAGCAAUGCGAGCUUUGGUGAUUCUAGGCAAGAUAGCAGAUCGCAUUACCUUGUGUAGGCGACAGUUCGAUCGAGUUUCUGCCCUAUCAACUUGAUUGUAGUGUAUUGGACUACAAUGGUGAUAACGGGUGACGGGGAAUUAGGGUUCGAUUCCGGAGAGGGAGCCUGAGAAAUGGCUACCACUUCCAAGGAAGGCAGCAGGCGCGCAAAUUACCCAAUGUCAAUUCGACGAGGUAGUGACAAUAAAUAACAAUCCCGAGCCUUCUAGGCCUGGGAAUUGGAAUGAGUACAACGUAAAUAACUUAACGAGGAACCAUUGGAGGACAAGUCUGGUGCCAGCACCCGCGGUAAUUCCAGCUCCAAUAGCGUAUAUUAAAGUUGUUGCAGUUAAAAAGCUCGUAGUUGGAUUUGCAGCGUUUAGUCGGGCCGAGAGGAUGGUUGGACCUUUACGGUAUCCGGUUCUGCGCUCUACGUUCGGUUAUUGAAUUCUGGUCUUAACUGGCUGGUUUUCGGUUCCGGACCGUUUACCUUGAAUAAAUUAGAGUGUUCAAAGCAGGCUUUUAGCCUUGAAUAGUUUAGCAUGGGAUAAUGGAUAUGAUCCUAGCUUAGUUCGUUGGUAACCUGAGCUAGGAUAAUGAUUAAUAGAGAUAGUCGGGGUUAUUCAUAUUCAAUUGUUAGAGGUGAAAUUCUUAGAUUCUUUGAAGAUGAACUGCAGCGAAAGCGUUUAACAAGGAUGCUCUCAUUAAUCAAGAACGAAAGUUAGGGGAUCGAAGACGAUCAGAUACCGUCGUAGUCUUAACUAUAAACGAUACGAAUCGAGGAUUGGAUGUUGUUAAUCGUACGACUCUUUCGGAACUUUAGGGGAAACCUUUGAAUCUUUGCGUUCUGGGGGGAGUAUGGUCGCAAGGCUGAAACUUAAAGGAAUUGACGGAAGGGCACACCAGGAGUGGAGCCUGCGGCUUAAUUUGACUCAACACGGGAAAACUUACUAGGUCAGAACAUGGUUAUGAUUGACAGAUUGAUAGCUCUUUCUUAAUUUCUAUGGGUGGUGGUGCAUGGCCGUUCUUAGUUGGUGGAGUGAUUUGUCUGGUUAAUUCCGAUAACGAACGAGAUCGCAUCCUACUAAAUAGUGGCGUUAACCGUCUACCGGGUGAAGGCUGUUGGCUCUGGAGGGCUGGGAAACUGGCUUCUUUGGACUGGUGGUUGGAUCCUUGAUGCGUUGGCGUCAUUAAUACUUCUUAGAGGGACUGUCGGUGAUUAACCGAAGGAAGUGCGGCAAUAACAGGUCUGUGAUGCCCUUAGAUGUCCUAGGCUGCACGCGCGCUACACUGUCUCGUACAAUGAGUUUUUUGCUGGUCCGAAGGUAUUGGCGAAUCUUGUGAAUGCUUGACGUGAUGGGGAUUGAUCAUUGCAAUUAUUGGUCAUGAACGAGGAAUUCCUUGUAGGUAUGCUUCAUCAAAGCAUGCCGACUACGUCCCUGCCCUUUGUACACACCGCCCGUCGCUCCUACCGAUUGAGUGAUCAGAUGAAAUCCGCGGAUUUGGGCUUGGUUCGCCUCGUCUGGAAAAGUAGAGUAAAUCUUAUUGCUUAGAGGAAGGAGAAGUCGUAACAAGGUUUCCGUAGGUGAACCUGCAGAAGGAUCAA
This 1873-nucleotide ribosomal RNA is filed under the name Flamella piscinae. RNAcentral's name for it is "SSU rRNA". It matches the Rfam family "Eukaryotic small subunit ribosomal RNA". Lineage: Eukaryota; Evosea; Variosea; Flamellidae. The record is from RNAcentral.